GCGUCGAAGCAUGAUCGCAAGGACAUGUGGAGCGCUUAGAAGUGAGAAUGCCGGUGUGAGUAGCGAAAGACGGGUGAGAAUCCCGUCCACCGAUUGACUAAGGUUUCCAGAGGAAGGCUCGUCCGCUCUGGGUUAGUCGGGUCCUAAGCUGAGGCCGACAGGCGUAGGCGAUGGAUAACAGGUUGAUAUUCCUGUACCACCUAGUAUCGUUUUAAUCGAUGGGGGGACGCAGUAGGAUAGGCGAAGCGUGCUGUUGGAGUGCACGUCCAAGCAGUAAGGCUGAGUGUUAGGCAAAUCCGGCACUCAUAAGGCUGAGCUGUGAUGGGGAGAGGAAAUUGUUUCCUCGAGUCGUUGAUUUCACACUGCCGAGAAAAGCCUCUAGAUAGAUAACAGGUGCCCGUACCGCAAACCGACACAGGUAGUCAAGAUGAGAAUUCUAAGGUGAGCGAGCGAACUCUCGUUAAGGAACUCGGCAAAAUGACCCCGUAACUUCGGGAGAAGGGGUGCUCUUUAGGGUUCACGCCCAGAAGAGCCGCAGUGAAUAGGCCCAAGCGACUGUUUAUCAAAAACACAGGUCUCUGCUAAACCGUAAGGUGAUGUAUAGGGGCUGACGCCUGCCCGGUGCUGGAAGGUUAAGAGGAGUGGUUAGCUUCUGCGAAGCUACGAAUCGAAGCCCCAGUAAACGGCGGCCGUAACUAUAACGGUCCUAAGGUAGCGAAAUUCCUUGUCGGGUAAGUUCCGACCCGCACGAAAGGCGUAACGAUUUGGGCACUGUCUCAACGAGAGACUCGGUGAAAUCAUAGUACCUGUGAAGAUGCAGGUUACCCGCGACAGGACGGAAAGACCCCGUGGAGCUUUACUGUAGCCUGAUAUUGAAAUUCGGCACAGCUUGUACAGGAUAGGUAGGAGCCUUUGAAACGUGAGCGCUAGCUUACGUGGAGGCGUUGGUGGGAUACUACCCUAGCUGUGUUGGCUUUCUAACCCGCACCACUUAUCGUGGUGGGAGACAGUGUCAGGCGGGCAGUUUGACUGGGGCGGUCGCCUCCUAAAAGGUAACGGAGGCGCUCAAAGGUUCCCUCAGAAUGGUUGGAAAUCAUUCAUAGAGUGUAAAGGCAUAAGGGAGCUUGACUGCGAGACCUACAAGUCGAGCAGGGUCGAAAGACGGACUUAGUGAUCCGGUGGUUCCGCAUGGAAGGGCCAUCGCUCAACGGAUAAAAGCUACCCCGGGGAUAACAGGCUUAUCUCCCCCAAGAGUUCACAUCGACGGGGAGGUUUGGCACCUCGAUGUCGGCUCAUCGCAUCCUGGGGCUGUAGUCGGUCCCAAGGGUUGGGCUGUUCGCCCAUUAAAGCGGUACGCGAGCUGGGUUCAGAACGUCGUGAGACAGUUCGGUCCCUAUCCGUCGUGGGCGUAGGAAAUUUGAGAGGAGCUGUCCUUAGUACGAGAGGACCGGGAUGGACAUACCUCUGGUGUACCAGUUGUCGUGCCAACGGCAUAGCUGGGUAGCUAUGUAUGGACGGGAUAAGUGCUGAAAGCAUCUAAGCAUGAAGCCCCCCUCAAGAUGAGAUUUCCCAACUUCGGUUAUAAGAUCCCUCGAAGAUGACGAGGUUAAUAGGUUCGAGGUGGAAGCGUGGUGACACGUGGAGCUGACGAAUACUAAUCGAUCGAAGACUUAAUCAAUUUUUUAAA
This 1687-nucleotide ribosomal RNA is filed under the name Akkermansia muciniphila. Its description in RNAcentral is "bacterial LSU rRNA". It matches the Rfam family "Bacterial large subunit ribosomal RNA", at positions 1247 to 2925 of the family's 2925-position model. The record is from RNAcentral. Lineage: Bacteria; Pseudomonadati; Verrucomicrobiota; Verrucomicrobiia; Verrucomicrobiales; Akkermansiaceae.